CCCACCGCCGUUGCCAUGGCGGCGGCGCGGUCUGCUCGGAGCGGGCCGGGACGCCGCGCCCUGUGACCCCUCCCGGAGGCAGAGGAUGGCUGAGGUUGGAAAGCGCCUCCGGAGGUCAUGGAAUCCGCCCUCCUGCUCCCCUAGAGCGCGCUGUCCGGCACUGUGUCCAGGGAAGGAGAUUCCGUGGCCCUCUGCCGUCCGCCCCACACUGAGGCCUGAAAGAUUCCCCUUCCCAAGUGGCGCUGCGCGCACACUUCUGCUUUGCGUCCUUCCAGUCAAAGCUGUGUGACCCCCUGGGCUGCCUGUGACGGCCCGCUGUUCGGCGUCCCCCAGCCUUCCACCGAUGGCCAAAAGGCUCGAGAAAGCAGGAGCGUGCCCUGCCUGGGAGGAAGCACCAGGUGUGCCACGUGUGGGACGGGGCCUGAGGGGACGGCGUGGAGCUGUGCCAGGGGAGGGCCGGGGGGUCAGGGAAAGGCUGUGAUUUUUUUGUGCUUUGAAACGUGAGAAAUAGCGGAAUACGUGCCAUAAUAUUUAACUCUUUAACAAAUUUUAAUCACAUUCAGAUAUUGAGAAUGAAAAGAAAGUGAAGCAUUCAGCUUUCCGAAGCAUUCAGCUCUGUGAAUAUACAUGAAUUAACCAGCACAGUGCAGGUAUAAUGGAAGGGCUUCCUGGUCAUUCUGGAGCAUCAGCAGCUGUACCUGGAUGUGAAUUGCACUGUGAUACAGAUAAGUUUUGCAUUAAUACUAUCCAUUUUUCAAUGUGUAAUGUUUUCAUAUUCAUACAAGUGAAGGGUUUAUGUUUUUGCUUGGUAUGUGUAACAGACACAUAUAACAGUUGCCUUAAAAACCUGUUGUUUGUCAAGAAAAAUUAGUUGAUCCGUUGAUCUGAAGUCACUCAUCUUGUUGAACCCAUUGCAAAGGGGCUCAGACUGAGGAAGCAGCUUCUGCCUCUUGCUGUACUGUUAGACUUGCUAGGUAAUUCUGGACACAUUGCUUAACCUUCCCAAAUCUGAGUUUAAUGAGCUGGAUAUGCACUUGAGCUCUGUGAAUGAGAAGUGUUUCAGUUUGAGUUCUAAUCCUCCGUUCAUCAGUUGACAGAAUGCUUCCACUGUGUUUCCUUAUGUAGCGAGGUGUUCUCUGCUCUGAGAUAAACUUGCCUUUAUUUAGGAGACCUGAAGGAAAAACGAACAAACAAACAAAUGAUGCAUUUGCUAAUUUUUCUGAGAUUAAACAUUCAGUAGAACUCAACAAAUAUGUUUACUAGUUUAAUUGGAUUACAUUAAUAUACAUCCCCACAGCUUUUAUUACAUAAGCCCUUUUCUACCAGGGAUUUAGUCUAUUAGUUAAGGAAACCUGAGGGAUUAAUCUGAUAGCUGCAGUCAGAAAUUACAGUGUAAUUAAAGUCACCCAGGAAACAGUGAUACUGAAGUCUGCCAAUCCCUGCAAAACAAACUUGUCAAUUUUCUGCAUCUAGGAUAGCAUAUAAGGUGACACAUUAAAGGGGCACAAGUUCUGCACCAGAAAUAGGCCUGUUAAGGAGGAACUUGUGUACUGCACAGUGUAGCCAUCGCUGUUCUUGCUACCAACUACUGCUGUCUGUUUUUGAAUAGACUUUAAAGGUUUUGGUGUUUUAUUAAAGGUCAUGUACAGUGUGGGAGAGGAAGUAUAACACGGCUUGCACGGAAGUCUAUUUUAAAGCUUACUUUACUAAUUUAGUUGGACCGAGAUGUUACUUCAUGUCCAAAAGAAGAUAGAAAAUGCAAUGGCUGUAAAGAAGAAAGUUGCAGAGCACUGGAGCAGCCUUGUUAGUAGCAGGGAGAGACGUUUUGUCAUGGUCUGUACUUGUCAGUGUCAUUUGCUGCAAGCAGGGUAAUGGAGAGCAUGCAUCGGUGCAUGAGUGGAGGAGGAGAUCUGUUGUCUUCAUGAAUGGCAUCAAGGAACAGCACAGCAUUCCAGAAAUUCUGCAGAGUGUCAGUACUUGUGAUGUGUUUGAGCCAUUCUAAUAGCAUAAUAUACGCAGGAGAGAUUUAAUUUCACUAUAUCCAAAAUACACAGCAUUUGGUAUUUCUUUUGUUCUAUGAGACAUAAGUCUAAUGAUGCAUAUUCUAGUUAGUGCAACUUGCUAUCAAGGUUGUAAAGAAAUAAGCAACAAGAAGAAAAUAACGUAUGUAUUUUUUCUGUUGUCAGAGUAGACUUGUAUAUAUACUUCACAGCUUUGUCUUCUUGCUCUAAGUUGUAAAGUAACCUUCACAUAACAUUGUGUAAAUGGAAAAGUUCUCUGCCAGAAAGCUAAAGCCCAAUAUCUGUUGCUUGCAAAGCCACAGAGGGAACUACCCAUUGUUUCCUAGGAGGAGAUGGUGCAGCGACUUGCUGUGGCUUUAGCAAGAGGGCAAGGCUUUGUGAUAGAAGAUAAGCAAAGUAUGAUGACUUAAGUGGAGUGCUGAAGCUUUUACUGCAUCUGUCUUGUACAGUGUUGAAUAGAUUUUUAGGAACUUGCCAGUCAGGAGACCUGCCUUCGUGCUAAUGUGCAGACAUAGAGAAACUGCAUGAACAGAGGCAGGAAGCACUCAGAACAGAAAGGGAAAAUGAGCUACUGAUGCACACAGAGCUUUGCUUGGUAUAGCAGGCAAAGGAGGAUCCAGCAGGAACAGAAGAUAUCUCUUCUGUGCCUGAUCAGCCUGAGAAAAGUCCUUAACAAAACAAAGUGGCAGCCUGGAGAGUAUAAAACACAGGAAAUGAUGCAUUUCCAGUCCCACUUUUGCUUCUUUCUCAGCAGUCGCAGGGUGGGUGAGUAGGAGUUGCCUGUGCCAGCUCUGUGCAGCCUGGCAAAACUGGGGCCAGACCCGACGUUGUUGAGGCUGCUUCCACUUUUGUUUGUGAGGUGGAGGGAAGGACACCCUCUGUAAGUGUUGGUAUUAAUGCUUUUCUCUUAGUUAAUCUGUUUUGUUUGCUGCUGAGGCAUUUUACCUUCACCUCUAAAUUAUUUCAUUCUUCAUCAAAAUCCAAAGAAAACAGAGAUUCAAAGAAAGCACCCCUUAGAAUAGACUGAACGCUGAGUAUUAUUUGUAAGAUGUAUGAAACAGGAAACGGGAAGUUAGAAACAUUCAGGGAGUCGGUAUGCAUCCAAGUAGUCAAUGGUUCAGGGGGCAGAUAAACCAACACACCCCCACCCAGCACUGCAUGGCUACACCACCAGCAUUCAGGAAUUCUGACCUUUGCUAAAUCUUUAAUAUCUUUGGUUAUCAAACCCAAACUCGCUCACAUGCCAGAAGCAGUGUGGUACUGGGUAACCAUGUAGGUAAUUUUCAUGCUCAGAGAAGACAGCUCAUUUGUCAAACUGCGUCAGGUGAGAGUGCUCAGCAGGCCUGAAUUUCUGCAGAGAAAAAGGACCGGAUUCUCCUCCCUGUUGGCACCACCCAGUCUGAGUCAUACAGGCUGGAAGCAGUAGUACAGCUGCCAAACUUCCUCACCUAGAUCACGCUAUCUGCUAUAGGCUGCACUGGGAUUAUUGAGUGAGGUGUUUGGGUGUAGAAUUAAAAUACGUUGAGCACAGGAUUGUACUGUUGGGGAUUUUUCCACAAUGUUUCUUCUCCAGGAAAUGUUUUUCCUCUCUAGCAUUGCAGGGUAACAGUGUAAACGUUUGUUUUUGUUGGUUCAUUGCCAGACAAACGUAAGAACAUGUUGUAAAAGUCACAUUUUGCUGGAUUUCGUUUUAGAAUAGUAGAACUGUAGAAUGGCUUAAGUCAGAGGGAACCUUAAAGAUCAUCUAGCUUCAACUCCUCUGCCAUGGGCUGGCUGCCCCCACCAGCUCAGGGUGCCCAGGGCCCAUCCAACCCGGCCUUGGGCACCUCCAGGAAUGGGGCACCCACAGCUCUGGGCAGCAGUGCCAGGGCCUCACCAUCCCCUAAGCAAAGAAUUUCUUUGUAACAUCUAACCUAAAUCUCCCCUCUUUUAGUUUAAAUUCCGUGUAGAAUUUCAAGUGUGUUUGGCACCUGCCAUUCCAAAUACAGACAAAGUUAUAUGAUAGAACUCAGACUUUGUAAAUCGUAAUGGAUUUUGAUCACAGGAUAUGAUGCUACUUGGUCACAACAGCCCAGAUCCCUGUAGGACACAUACUUCCAUUGAUUUCACUGGAAGUUAGGGGCCACAGAGAACUCUGUGGUUCUUUUCCUACCAGCUGAAGUCAAUGAAACCACCUUUUGAAAAUGGGGUUCCAGAUAUUACAGUCUAGCAGACAAAGCUGGCUUAUCCCACAUUAAAUGUCACCUCUGAGAACGGAAUUUAAGUGAUGAUGGCGUAGUGGAAGUCUAAGACAGAGCCAAGGCCAGAGUGUAAAUUAUCUGAUGCCCAGCCCAAUGCAUGAACCACAGUGCUGAUGUUUGAUUACUGUGAGGUUGGAUACUGACUCUAUAAACAACAACUGCAGUUUUCAAAACUUACCCGCAGCAAAUGCAGAACCCUGCCUUGACAUGGUUUUCUGAUGGUAGAACUCUGCUUGCUGAAGUCUAUUUACACCUCAAAUUUUCCAAAAACAAGACUUCAAUUCCUCAUUGCUGUGAAGCAAGCAUUACUUUUAACAAAUUACUUAAUUGCUUUUCUAGCCAUUUCUUUUCCUGCAUUUCUUAAUUGAGUUUGUAUAGAAUAUUUCUACAUGAAUGAGUGCCUGAGGCAAGAUGAGGUCUGAGCAGAAACCUGUAUCUUGGUUUCCUAGUCAGUGGGAUGCAGGAGAGCCUACUGUGCUUCUGUUUAGGGAUAAGAACUUGGUUAAAGGCAUGCAACCCAACUCAUGUUUCCUUGUGCUUGCUUACAAGGAGAAUAUCAAGGUCUCAGACUGGAUAAUGAUGCAGAAAUGCACACUGACAGCGGUCCCAAUAGCCGGGCUCAUGGAAAGAAAGUCUCAGAUGUGAAUGAAGGAUGUGAGGCUGCAGCCAAAUUGAUUAGAAGCAAAGAACUCUCAGACAUCUGAAGUGUGCAAAGCAUAAAGCUGUCCUCUAAUUUCCCAGUUUUGGCAGUUUUGUUGCCACUUGAAGGUAAAGCUGGUAUUAAUCACUGGGGGGAAAAUGCAACCCUGCUCUCUUUGAUCUUUCCUCCUUUAAUCAACAGUUUCUAAGUGCAAUAAGACAUUUCAGAUGUUGCCAAUGUAUUUUUAUCUGGCAAUUGUUCAAUGCGUAUCCUAAAAUGGAGAGGUGCAUCUGCUGAAACACAGCAUGGUGCUUCUGGAGGAGGAAACCAUCUCCUUUCUGGCUUUGCACUGUUCAUUGGUCUGACAGCCUUGGAUAUCCAUGGAAAUGUAACUGUUCCUAAGAUGAAUCCUACACGUUGCACAGUUGCUCUGCUUCCUGUAACUCAUCUAAAUAUUGGUGACUAAUUAUUCUUGAGGAAACAUCCUUUCUCUGUGGAGUUAGCUUUGCAAGCAAAAGGACAUUAGAAGCAGCACCCUGACCAGGUCACUAGCCAGCCAGGAGAGAGCAGGGAUUGCAGGCAGGAGGUGGCAGCCUCGAGUAGCAGCACACUGCUUUCUCUGCUCAGCUAUGCUCAGACCUGAAUGCUAACAGGAGCAGGGUACAAACAGCUUGGGGUCUGGGUCCUUGCUUUAAGCACUGCAGCUUGAAGAUGGAAACCUAACUUUGUCCCUCGUGCCCACUAAUUAAAAACGUAGCUAAGCUGCUCUAUAGGUGCAGUGUUGGAGUUGUAUGGGUUUGCUCAGAAUUUUUAAUAUUUUGUUCAAUAUCUUCAGAGGGAAAGAAUGUAGCACUCUUUAUUUGAUCUGUCCCGUUCUCAUCUAGGUUUAUUUCUUCUUGCAAGGAAAAUUAUGUUGCAGACAAGAAUAAGUCCCCUCGAAAUACUGUAUUGUUUUGUUUGUGUGUCUAAUUCUUGAGCCCCAUCCUGCAAAGCUGAUGGUCCUCCAUGGCCUGGCUAUAGUCCACAAGGGGAUUUAUAAGGGAAUUUUGCCUCCCUCAUGAGCUACAACGAAGUAACGGCAAAUGAACCUACUUAGAUUAAAGAUGUCACUGACUGAAAUGUUCUAAUCAACAGAACCUUGCAAUUAUCCUCUCUCAGCAGAGAGGGGAACUUGAUGACAUCAUUGUUUUUUCCCUGUGAAAACGCUUAGUUGGAAAAAGACAAAAAAAGAUUCAAUGAAUCACAUGCAACAUCCCACUUGGAAUCUUUGAAUAAUCCCAAAGAGUGCCAUUCACUGCAACAAUCAAAAUGUAAGCCAAGAGAGUUCUGCAGCAUUGCUUUUUGCCCACUGGCCUUCAUCUGCAGAAGAUACAUCGGUGAGGUAAUAGUGGUCUUUCUAAUGCAAAAGAGUGAGGGACGAUUUGUUGAGCCACAUUCCCUGAAGAAAGAAGGCUUAUGUGCACAGAUUCUGUCUGGCCCAACAGCCAGCACUAGAACAUGGAAUCCCAUUGGGCAAUUCACUUCAGUAUGAAAAAGAGAAGACUCCAGUUUUCUGUCAGGACUGUCAGCUGAAGGGCUGAGCCUAACAGCUGUUCUGUGUAAGAGUUUGAACUCAACUAGCCGUAUUACUGGAAGAGGAGAAUGUGCCAAAAGGUGUUUUGCUCAAUGAAAAAGUGCAGUAAAUUUGAGCCGUAUCAGGUCUGUGCCGCUGGAGAAAUAUGCUUUCCUUUUUUAAAGUGUAUGGAAUCCUACAACUUCCUUUCUGUUUCUUGGUUUUCUUAACAUAACAGUGGCAGCAGCAUUGGCUUCUGUAGAAUGUCAAUAGAAGUUAUGCUUCAGAUCCAGAUGUGCAGAGGAAGAAGACUUUCCUUCCACAGCUCUGUGGGUCCUUCUAGCUGUUACAUACCGACCUGUCACAGAGGGGGUUCUGUGAGUCCUCCCUAAUUCAUAUUAAGCACAAUUGGGCAGAUUUUAUUAAGCAGUUUAAAAUCCUGUUCUGACAUACGGCAUCUGGUUUUGCAUCACUUGAAUUAGCAAUGCUCCCACAAGCUCUUCUCUUAGCACAUCUGAAGAGUGUUAACCCUAUCCACUGGCACUGCUAGAUGGAAAAGAAAUCAUCUGUAUGUGACCUGAAGCCCUGUUGCCAAUGCACAGGCAUAUAGCAUUGUGGACGUGGCUACAGCCUGUACAGAAGAGAAUAUAAUUCUAUUUGGAGGGCUUGACUAUUCAAGCUCUGUGAACAGGAAGAAAAGGGCUGACUCAUAUAACAAGCCAACGUCAAUGAGCAGAAUCACAUUUUAAAUGAGGUCACUUAAACAAGUGGUUUCUUAUACUGAGAAAAAUUACAGGUAGAUUGAAAUGGUGUGUUUAAAGUACUGCUUGGUGGUUGGGGGCACUAAGGAAUCUAUUCCAAGUGUGGAAAAAAGCCUUCACCACAUAUGCACUGGAGGUCUUAAGAAGAAGGGAUAGUUGGAGUGUAAGGGAUAAUCUUGAGCUGUGAAUGGCAUGAGCAAACAUUUAGGGAAGCCUAGCUCUGUAUGGUAGGAAAGUCUCAGGGAGAUGAGCCAGUACAUCUGUGAGCAAUGGAAUCAGCGAAGCCUGGUUUCCAAUGGGUAUGUGUCCCAUUCUGGGCUCUUUCACAUCUAAUCCGGUGCAAGAUGUGAUCCAAGCUUUUCCCGUGGCCUGGAUGGUCUUUGUGUCUGUCGUAGGACAUCGUCUAGUGAGUAGGGAUUUGGUACAUCUUUUCCCAUGGUUGGAAGUGCUGUUUGGGUCUCUUCUUCCCAGUUGGCUGCCCAUGUCUGCUAAACUUGCAACAAAUUUCUAUCUUGAAUUCUUUACUUUGCUUAGAAAUUUAUUUGAAAAGCACACAUUGGAUUCAAAAGUUAUUUAAAGGGGAAGUGAAAACAGGAGAAUAUGCACUCAUACACCAAAUGCAACGGCAUAGGCCUUUUGCCUUAAGAAAUUGAAACGUUAGAAGAAGGUAUUUCUGCCUACAGAUAUGGUGGUUUCCAGCACUGGUGGUGAUGUCACUUCAGAUGAGGGGGAGAUGGGGAGAGGAGAGGGUUUGGAAUAGAAGGGGUGAAUGGAAGCAUCACUAAAACCUGCUUUCGCUCUGUGACCUUUGAAGUUGUUCCGUGCAGAGCUGGCAUACAAUAUUUCAACACUGUACUCUUGUGGUAGGUUCAUUUGUCAAUUUUUAUUUAUUUAUUUAUUUAUUUAUUUAUUUAUUUCAACUUAGUUAUUUACUGGGUGAGAAAAUGUAUAGUUAAAACCCAGAUUUAGUCUAAAUGUAUGUACAGAUUAACUUUUUUUAAUUGACUGUUUGUUAGGCUGGCAUUACUGGUAUGAUUUGUUUUGUUUAACCUGUUUGUCAUUCCAAAGUAAUAUAUAUUUUCUUUUCUAAGAGGAAUUUGCACUGGUAUGUAUGGGAACACAAAAUCCAAUACAAGUCUAUGAAACAAUCUACCCAAACGUGUAUCUAAAUCCAUUUGAAUAGGCACAUUUUGUGACCUGGAGAGAUUUUCUGUAGUUCCUAUCAACAUUUUUAUCAAAUCUUCAUUCCAGUAGGUCGGAACUCCGUUGUUACGCUGAUGCUAUGGCUAGCUUGAGAAAUAACCUUCCUUUUAUUUGAGAACCCGUAGCUGAAACGUGUGGUAGAGCUAGUCUGCUCUUUUGUCUAAGGAAGAAAAGAAAUGCCCAAUGGAAAUAGAAAGGGGAAAACUAUUGGAAGAGCUGUUAAAAACAAACAGCUGUAUGUUUUCCCCCUCUACCUUUGAAAAAUUCAAUUAGUUCCAAGCAUGGAUUUAAUCUGACGAAGUUAAUGUCUAUUCAUUUCUUUGAUAUCAUUUCUUACAUCAUUCUGUGAAAUAGAUUUCCGCGUUCAGUUCAUUAUCCAAUCAUUACUUUUCUGAUUCAAAUAACCAGUCAGCCUGCAGGGUACAAGCCCUGCUUUCAACAGUUGAAGUUGAUCAUAUUGGCCAAUACUGAGGUAGACAGACUGGGAUUCCCCUCUUUAAGGAAUUCAGGACAUCGUGAAAGCCACAAAGCGACUCCUUCACAACACUGAUACAGAUGGCAUGACUGGUGUGUUCAGCUGACUCUUGUCUGAGAGUGUUUGCAGGGUUGUAAACCAGCAGUAUCCUCCCUGUUUGGUCUGUGUUUGCACUGGCUUAGCCAACAUCAGAAUCUGCUCCAGGGAUAACAAAGGUAGCAGAGGUGGGGUUCUUUGGGGCUUGUUAGGCCGCUUUCCUGUAUUGGAUGUAGUGUUUGUUAGCAGAUUAGAACUGAACCUUGGGUAUCAUAAAUGAGUUGGCCGUGAGCCCCUGUGGGCAAGAAGUCCAGUGGUAUCCUGGGGUGCAUGAAAAAGAGAGCAGUCAGGCUCUUCUUGGUGGUGUGUAGCAAUAGAACAAGGAGUAAUGGCCUAAAACUUGAACGUAGGAAGUUCUGCACAAACAUGUGGAAGAACUUCCUUGUGGUAAGGAUGACAGAGCACUGGAACAGGCUGCCCGGAGAGGCUGUGGAGUCUCUUUCUAUGGAGAUAUACAAGACCUAUCUGUUCGCCAACCUGUGUGACCUAUUGUAGGGGACCUGCCUCAGCAGGGGGUUGGACUCAAUGAUCUCCUGAGGUCUGUUCCAACCCCUGUGAUUCUCCUUUAUGAGGGCUCAUGUUUUUUAAUUUAAUAAAUAUGAAAUAUUGUUCCUUGUUCGAAAGCUCACCUGUCAGGUUACACUCUUGUAAUUCCACUGCUUUAUAAUUGCAGUAUUCUUUCAGUAAGGUUCUUCUAUAUAAAAACAAGCUUGGGAAGAAAAGAGAAUAUCAUUUGAAGCCUCCUUUAAAUAUCCUGAGGAUUAAAUGUCCCUUUUGUGUUUAUAGUAACACUUUCUAUAGCGUGUGAAUGAGUAUUUUGGGGUAUUUGUUCUCAGCGCAGUGAAUGAACAAAAUGGUCCUCUUGAUUCUGUGAACAGAAGAAGUCUUUUUUUGUGUGUAACCUUGGCAGCAGACGUAAGUAUGCUCAUGGAUGAAGGAAAGACAAAUGAUUAUGGAAGCUAGAGACUGGGAGAGGACUUAGGAGAUAUAUCACAACGUGUUUAUUCUGCCCUUAACAUUCUUCCCUCUAUGCUAAGUAUAUUAGAAGCGUUGUCUGGAUCGUGGAAAACAAGGUUUAUUCACAAAAGCCACACAGUGUGUGAUCCUGGUGCCCCAGAGCACAGACCACAUCCACAUCAGUCAGUGUUCUUCUUACCACGCUCAGUGUAAGUCCCAGCAUCUCAGAUCACCUUUUCCAGUAACGCUUUUGGCAUUCCUUGUGUCUCCCUGUAGAUCAAGCCAAAAGUAAGCUUUACACCACUACAGCAAGCCAAGCAAGGGACUGACAGCUUAGCAAUGCCUUGAACGUCGUCACAUGCAACUUGCAGUGGCAAAGUGGUACUUAACAACUCUAUUUUCAUAGUACCUUGCUGCGUCUCUGUGGGUCAUUCAUAUCUAAUAAAAUAUACACACUGUUGGAGAUGGGAUUCUGAGCUCAGCAGCCUUUCAGUGUGACCAACUACACUGUUCAUAUGUAGAUGUAACAGUUAUUUUAGGUGAGUCCGUUCUGCAAUGUAGACACUGGCUAGUCCAUUAUUGUGAAGGAAACGGAAUGGACAGAGCAUUUAAUUGAUUAAUUACCCUAUGUUCAAAAUGCAGUCAGAUCAGGGUGAGAAUGAAGCCAGUAGGGAAAAAUGAUGGCUCUUUCAAAAAGUAUAAAGAAUAUUGUCAGUUUAACAUAGUAAGUGCUGCUUAAGAGUAUUUCCCAGAUCACAGUAGAGAUUUUUACUCUUUGCUCUCAUGCCCUGAAAUAUAACCUCAUCGUUCUGACCAAUAUGUGGCAGUCAUUUAGCAAUACGUCUGCUUGGGGAUGUUACUGGGGCUGUUAACAAAGUUAGCAAAAAGCUUGUCAUUUAACUUCUUGAAGCCAGGCUAAAGAUUUAGUGCCAAUGCAGGGGACAUCUGCUUUUUUUCUGGUCAAAAUGAAUAGACUGAAUUACAGAGACAAUAAAGAUGGAGUCUCAUGAUGCUAUUGUACACUGCUUUGCUUUUCAUUUUGAAGAGAACUCACAAGUAAUGGACAAAAUCAAAUGAAUCACCCCCUAUAUUUCAGCCAUCUUGUCUCAGCAAAUGGGCAGCAGUCAACAAGGAGAAGCAGGAACUUCAGAAAAUGAUUUGUUCUAUUUAUUUUAGAUACCCAUUUCAGGAUAGAGGAACUCAUCCCUCAGAAGGAGGAAGGCAUACAUACUGUCUCGUAUGUGCAGCUGUCUUGCUUAGCUUCUAAAUGAAUUCUACUCUAACUAGCCUACCUAACCUGUUUUUGCUACUGGAAUCAGAUGGAAAUACAGUCAGUAUUUGCAAAUGCAAAGCUCCACAGAAAUAGAAUGUAUCAUUCUAUAUUUCACCCUGCUUCACAGAGAGCCAGGGAAGGCUUUUUUUCAUCUACCCACUGAGAACAAAGUGCUGAUUUGGCUCUAUGGUUCUUGGAAACUGUCUUUGCUCUGCUAUUUCCUGUUACAUUCUCAAGCUGCGUAUUUUAGAUGUGAAUGAGGACCAACCCCCCAUCUCUUUUUGCUUGUAGCAGUAUGACAUGAUGCCUUGGACAGAUGUAGAUGGGUGUUUCUUGCCAGUAAAAAAAAAAAAAAAAAAGAAGUGGAAAAUGAAAGCACGGCAGAAAGUUUAGUUCUGGGGGUUCACUCCUCACUGUGUAUGGUAAACCAUGGCAACACCUUCAGUAGUGCUGACCUUGCCUGACAUGCUCUGCAGAGGCUGCACACCAAUUCCCAUCCCCUGGGAAGACCUUUGACGCUUUGCAGGAUUGUUAUUUGUUUCAUCCUCAGACACACGUUACACUGGCAGACCAAGGCAGCGAGUGCUUGCUUUGGUAGCAUUGGCAGGGGCUCUGAGCAUCUCCUUUCACAGCUCUGUGCUGCAGCCUGACAUCGUGAAGCUGCCUGCAGGCCAGGCAGACAUUUCCAAACAGCAUUCCUGGCAGCACAAACAGACAAUUAAAUUUAAAGACGAGGCAUUGCCACCAUUCAUUUGAAUGACUGUGGUGCUUCAGCAUAUUGCUAGUGUUUGUUGACAUAUGUAAUUUAUAGAAUUUGGUUUGUGUGUGGUGGGAAGAGGAAAUAUAUCAGUGCGGUGAUCUGACACCUCGUCUACGUUGGUGGCCUUAUUUCAUACCUUUUUGCAUGCCAAAUGGAAUGAAGUGCUCUCAGAAUCUGUAGAUGACCUGGCAGGAGCUGAAUGAGUGUCCUUAAAACCAUUUGUACUGUUGUACCUUUGUGUUUUCUGUUUUGUGACCUUGGCAGACCAGUGAUUGGGAAAGCUGCUCACACACCAUCUGCACCUGCUACUUUUGCCGUGCAGCAAGUGGUCAUUUCCUUUCCAAACAUGACUGGCUUCUGAUAGCAGUGGGAAAUUGGCAGCUCUUGUAUGAAAGCAGUAGAUUCCAGUUUCUUCUUUCGGCUUUUCACUGAGAUAGAACAGGAGUUGUUAUGGUUAUGUCCCCAGUGCUCUGUGUCACAGCUUUCUUUUCUACAUAACUGCCUUUUCAAUCAUUAAGUACAAUCAGUAUAUGGAAUCACAUCUUGUAUUGUAUAAUACCAUAUUACCCUGAGAUCUUUUUUUUUUUCCAGUAUCAUCUUAAUUCUAAACAGAGAUGCACAACCGACAGUGAAAAUGUUUCCCUUUUGUCUCGUGGCCUUUCUUUCUCAUUUCCAUGAGAAGAAGAGAGUGCAGAAUAAAGUUGCUCUCUUGACUUCCGUGGUCUGGCUAAAGAAACAACAUAGCAGGAGUGAGCUGUGCUUUUCUCCUUAUUUCUCUGGCACAUUGAAAAGAUGAGGUGUAGGAGUGUUCAUUGCUCUUCUAAUUCUCUCCUCCAGAGGGGAUGGAAGCUGUUGCAAUUCUUCCUUAUGAGGGUCCUUAAAAUCAGCAGUCAGAAUUUGUUCCUGGGAGACCUAUUUUGCAAGCUUGUCUGCUGAAACUUCUGUAGAGAAGAAAGCAGACGGAGCCUUUUCAGAUUGCAGCUUCCCAGUUGCUGUGUUGAAAGCAUGAAGCAAAAGUGAAACCGAGGUAUUACAGUUCUUAGUUCUCAUAAACGGCUUUUCCUUGCUUUGCUCUGCAGCAAAUUCCAGCUGAGCUAACAUUUCUGUUAGCAUGACAAUGCCCAUACGUGCACUGCUGUAAUGAGAGGGAGCAUCUGUGUCUGAGCUGGUUGUGAUUGUGUUGAAAAGAGACAGAUUGUCAUCGUGUGUCAGUCCUUACUCUUCCACUGAACAUGAAACUUCCUUGGUCGUGCUGUUGGUUCAGUCUCCAGUCUCCAUUUUCAUAUCA
Molecule: long non-coding RNA, 13266 nt
Filed under: Gallus gallus (chicken)
Lineage: Eukaryota; Metazoa; Chordata; Aves; Galliformes; Phasianidae
Source: RNAcentral